RNAcentral lists this long non-coding RNA (6322 nucleotides) under Homo sapiens (human). RNAcentral's name for it is "HSALNT0157382". Lineage: Eukaryota; Metazoa; Chordata; Mammalia; Primates; Hominidae. The record is from RNAcentral.
AUGCCCUCCCCGCUGUCUGUGACUGAGUCCUCCAGAGCUUUUGUGCCUCUGACUCCUCUGCACUGAGCGCGCAGCCACACCUCAAUCGCAGCUUAGGUUUUCUGCUGGCACUUGUUCCCACAGAAGUGUCUCCUCCUGGACAGCUGCUCUGCUAAGUUGGUUCUCUAUCCACACACCUGCCUCCACAACUUUUAGGGUACUAGUUUUCCCUGUGACCUCACUUCUCAGAAGAAUCUAGGAAGAGUUGUUGACUUUCAGGGAUUUUUUAAAGUUUUUCCUAAGGAAGAGGGAAAGACUUUCAAGACCCUUAUACACUGAGCUGAAAAUCAAAAGUCCUAUCAUUCAAACAGAAAAUCAAUAUUGUUUGCUCUGUUACCAGGGAUCCAAUCCUAAUUCUAAUUUCUGAAAACAAAGGGGUUUUAAAAUAAUAACCACCUAUGAUUUUUCUGUUUCACAUGGGCGGAGAGAGCAGAAAACCCUGUGAUCAACAAAUGAAGCAAGACGUCCACUGUCCAUGACUGAAACAAGCUGAAGCCACCUGGUUGGAAAGGAAAUGAAAUGAAGCUUGGAGCAAGACCCCGUGAACUUAUCUGCCAUGGCUGCAGGGGUGCCUCCGCUUUGCCAUCCACCCUGGGAACACAGCUGAUGGACUCUGCUCUCGGCCACUGUCCUGGAGGGACCCCUUCCUCUGCCUCCUGUUCAGGUUCCUUAUUUCUUUCGCAAUUGUGGCAGAAGGUGCUGCUGUUUUUCACAGACAUGAGUGGGACAGGGUUUCUCUCCUAAUAUUUAUUUGCCCUCAGAGCAAGGGCUGUUCUGCAUGGACCCAGGAUUUUGAGGAAUAAGAGGAUGUCACUGCGUUUUGGGGGAUUUGGCUGUCUGGCCAGCCUUUGAGUACCGAGUGGAUACAAUAGUAGCAAAGUGAGGUCCUUCAUCACCUGCUGUUUGCACACAUCCAUUCUAGUUCAGCAACAUUUUCUGCUCGUGUGAGCAGUUACCUUUCAUGAAGCCCACGCUCAUUCUGUUAAGGGAUAAUAUUACGUGGUUUUGACCCUCAGGGUAGCCACACAUCCCCUCUGCGAUUGUCCAUUUUACUCAUUUGUUGACUCAAAAAAAUGAGACAGGUGGCAGGGCCUGCAUCGGGGACUUCUCAGUGACCCUCACCUGGAUCCCAGUCAGGCUGGGGUCUCGGGGAAGCAGAAACCCAAGGCUGCCCAGCUCCCCAGGCUUCAUCCUUGCUUGGAACCCAAUAAGAGUUUCCCUUGCUCUUCCUCUCCCUGCUGGAACCAAAUGUACGGAAUUAAAAUCUAGGGUUUUUAAAUUAAUGCUAUCAAUGGCCGGAGAUGCCAGUUCAAGCAUCAAAACCACGUGACAAGCAGCCGUCCACUCAGGCCUCUGCAUGUGGUCCCCGAAGGCCAAGACCAGGGAGAGAGCCGGAAAAUGAAGAAUUGGAGUCUCACAGAUGGGCACCACCUGCGCCUCAGAUAUCGAGAGAAAGGAGGAAGCCGGAGGAGGAAAUGAAGUGUUUAGACUUUAAACAUCAGAGUGGAAAAUUGAAAUAAAUUCAUUACAUCAGCCUACCCUAGUUUAAAUAACAGAAAUGUAUUCUCGACAAGCUUUCAUCCUUUCCUUUCAAUUUAUUACAUUGAUUAACACCCCAAACCAUUAAUUCCAUCUGUGUUUUGUUUUCCUCCUCUCUUCCUGCUGUCACACAGUGCUCUGGGGAUAUGACAUCGUUCGUUUUGAAAAUCACUGGUUCAAAGAGAAGAUUUGGAAAGUGUGAAAAAAAUAACUCUUUGAACCAUACUCGUUUAAGACACAAAGAAACACCGAGGGUAGGCCAUGCAUUAAUGUAGCUUUAAAUAAUGGUAAUUUUUAUGAUUCCAUAAAAUAUUAAGGUUUCCCAUUUCAGAAACUAGCAACCAAGGGCAUUGUCAAUGUAAAUGUAAGUAAUUGAACCUAUCUAGAAUAUUGAAGAGGAUUAUUUCAGGCCAUUAUUUCUCAUAUCCUGCACAAAUAUUUAGUAGUAAAAUACCAUACUUUACUCUAUCCAAAGGCCACGGAUAUCAUAAAACAACUGAUCAGCACAUUCUCCCUGCAGCUGGUAGAGCCAUCUCACAAACGACCUGGACCUUCAGGAAGAAAUGGAAUCAGCUGUUACAAUUAGCCCUGAGGAAAGAUUGAUUACUUGAGGUCACCUGCGCUGCAUAAUAAAUGGGCCUGGGAGUCUCCUGGGCUUGUGGGGUGGAAGCCUCCAUCCCUGAGUUCCCUUGAUCUUAAAGACGAUCUUGAUUUUCAGUGCUUUCACCUGGGCACAGGUACAUUCGUGAUUAAAAUCAACUGUGUUAAAAGAAGACACAUAAACAUCUUACGUGACCUUGGCAUUUCAGGAUCAUUCACAAAGAAAUUUGCAUCCUUUUUCUUUAUCUUCAUAGCAGUUCUGUGCCAUCAUUUUCCCUCCUUUUACAGAUGAUGUUCAGAAAGGGUUAUGUCUUCCCCAAUGUGUUAGACCCAUAGCACCAACAGAAGCAGAAUUUGGAGUCUGUUCUUGUGAUUAUGCAUGUAGGAUUUUUUUUUCACUUGUAUUUUCCAAGCACUGUCUUUUUAUUUUAUUUUAUUUUUUAUUAUUUUUUUGAGAUGGAGUCUCACUCUGUCACCCAGGCUGGAGUGCAGUGGUGCAAUCUUGGCUCUCUGCAAUGUCUGCCUCCUGGGUUCAAGUGAUUCUCAUGCCUCAGCCUCCCCAGUAGCUGAGACUACAGGUGUGCACCACCACACCUCGCUAAUUUUUGUAUUUUUAGGAGUGACGGGGUUUCACCAUGUUGGCCAGGAUGGUCUCGAACUCCUGACCUCAGGUGAUCCACCCGCCUGCUUUACACCAAGUUCAUUCAGGAAAUUGCUAAGUGUGCAUUUGCUGUUCUCAAACCAUAAGCAUGCCUCCAAGAAAAAGAAUGAACAAAGGGAAAAACUACUCUGGUAAAAGUGUAGGAUAAAGAGCAUUUCAUAUUCAAGAUGCUCCUCUGCAUCCUGGGACUUCUCUGCUGCCCCCUCCCCUUCACCAGCCUCCUUCCAUGCCCUUUGAAGAGAAUGUGAAUACACGUGCAUGUGGCAUAGCAGGUAUAUUGCACAAUAUUAUUUGGAAAUACUUUCAGGUCUCAUGCCCAAGUUCUUUGAUGUGUGUUAUUUAGACUUAAGAGCAACGGCUGAAGAUGAAAGAGUAAAAAAGUCCCCUUGUGCUAUUUCUUGUAAAAAGUCAUAAUUGUGUGUCAUAUGUGAUGAUAAAGUGAGUCAGCAAACACAAAUAUCUCCAGAGAAUCCUUUAUUCUGCUAUUUUCCACCUAGUGAAAUUGUCUGAUGGAGGGAAGGGGAUAUUAACUAGAAUUCUGAUUCUAAAGAAACCAUGUUUGUUUGUCAGUGUUAUUUGUUUCGGGAAACCAAUAAGAAAUCAAGUCAGCCAACCCUUUAACUAUCUGGAAAGACAUUGCAAUGCAUUAAGAACUGAAGUAUUGUAAGUCAGUAUUGACCAUCAGGACUUUGAAGCAAAGAAUAGUUGUCCAUGUCUUCAGACAGGUCAAGGAGUUGAGAGGAAAACAUUCGGGAGUGGGCACAAGAUGAUCUGAAUAUGGGUUAAAAGAUGCAAGCUGUGUGGUCAGCCGCAGGAAGGAUGCCUUAGGUCUCUCUUUUGCAGAAAUAAAAGAUCAGGGCAGUUAUGUGAAUCUAUGAAAUUUCUCAUGGCUGUUAUUUCGGGAAUGUAUUGGAACCUUACAUUCGGGUCAUGGCUCUGCUGCUAUCUGGCAACAUGACACGAAUCCAGACCUCACACUUCACCUUCGUAACCUCAGGGGAAAAAUGAGGAUGAUAAGGUCUUUCUGUCCACAUUGUAUGUUCAUUCUGAGGAAAGAAAAAUUCUGAUAUGUUUAUAUGUGUGUAUAUUAUGCACACACAUAGGCUUACUGAAGCUUUGAGUCACUAUUUAAUGUAUUUUUUGCUUAUCUCAAGAAGGCUUGUAGAAGUUCACAAAAUCUACCAAUUUCAGGCUGCAGGAUAAAAUACCAGCAGGGCGUAGUGGUAACAACCCCAGACUGUGAAGUUAGGAUGUGCUGAAUGUGAAUCCUGACUAGUAACCCGUGUGACUUCUAGCAAGUUACCUAAGUUGUCUGAGCCUCUGAAAUGAAUAUUGUUUCAGUCCUGCCGCCAUCGAGGUCUUGUGCAUUAACUGAGAGUCACUAUAACAUUUAAGCUCAGAACCAUACCUUGAGCAGAGCAAGCACUGCCCCAGUGGUAAAUAUCAGCCUCUGCCCUGCAAGGACACUUGUGUCCCAGGUCAGUGCCCGCACAGCCGCAAAGCCACAGAGAGACGUGGUUUUGCCUCCUGUGGUGCUUGUGAUCUAUGGAGAGACAGACAUUGAAGAAACAAGCAAAAUAUCACACAGGAGACCUGUAACAUUGUAGGACUGAUGAGAGCAACAGUGAGUUGGGGGAGCUUUAAGCAACUCCAACAAGAGGACCCUUUCUGGCCUUGAUUGAGAAAACUCUUCCUCCUGGCACACACAUGCCAUUUGGGUGUGGGGACUCACUGCGGAGGCAGCACUGCCCCUUCUAUCCAGCCAAGGGCUCCUUUCUAUGCCUCACCCGUCUCCCCCCGACCCCUAUAGGUUCAUGCCGGGCUGCAGUUGGCUUUGUAGCUGCCUGUUCCUCCUUGCAACCUCUCUGCUGGUGCUUUGUUUUGUGGGAAGAGCAGGGACUGAGCAUGAAGUAGCUGGGGACACCACAGCGACAUCUCCUGAUGGGCACCGGGCGAGAUUGGCUCCUGCUCCUGAAGCCUCUUCCAACUGCUGCUCAUCCCACCACGUUGCAAAGCUGCGCUGAGGCACUGUGGGAAACAGGCAGGAGGUGAGGAGGCUCAUCGGGGAAUGGCAGCUUACCAGCACUGCUCACUCGCAGCCCUGCUUGCAACAGCAGAGUGAGACGUGCUGGAAACCACGCUGGAGUUAACGCACUUGUCGCUGCGAGCCUCUUCUUUAAAGCCCCUCUGUGAUGAGAAACAAAGGCUUUCUCGCCUAGCCGUCGCCCUAGCAUCAUCUAUUAUGCAUCGUCUUAUGCAAAAUAAAUAAAAUACAGAAAACAGCAAGUAUCUGUGAAAACAGCAUUUUCAUAAAUUAUACAAAAAAGAACCAAUUGGAGGAACUUCAAGAAAAAGGUUUGCCAAAAUUUCGAUCGUAACUUUCAAAUUAGGGUCUAAAUGAAGUGUUCAAAGACAGUUUUCAGUUUUGUUUCCCCACUCCACCAACAUCAGAAGAACAUUUAACAGACACGUUACUUUCCGGCCACCAUACCUGCCCUUGGAGUGAAACAAGGGUUCAUGUAUACGAGUCUCCCAGACAGCACGGUUGCUCCGUGUGAUGAUGGAGCUAUUGGGGCCAUUAAUAAAUGCUGACCACCUUGUGGGGGCUGUGUGUGUGUGUGAAGCUCUUCUGAAGCACCUUCCUUCGGUGACUCCACCCCCUGAUGGGUUUUCUGCAGAUACAGAAAUAGGGCAACUCUGGAUUAGUGCAGCACAUUGUGUGAAGCUCAGAAGUUUCACAGGCAGAGUCCUAGAGCUGUGUUUCUCGAUAUAGUUUAAGCACUCAAAUAUCUCGGGUAUUGCAGAGAGGAAGUGAGAGAGCUAUGUGCCUUCUCAACCCUCGCUGGGAAUUAUCAGCAGAGCUGAGCUGUGCUGUCAUGGGAACAGGGUUGUUGAAGCCAGCCCUGAAGAGGGAUGUUGGUUUGAUUGUGGUCCUCAGUCUGAGUUGGACUAGAAGGUUCAACAUUCUAAAAGGAAAACGCAGAAGCCCUGUCUUUCUGAGGCUUGUCUGCAACAUACGCUCAUUCCUUCCAAAUUAUUUGCUGGAAAAAAUUUAAUAAAUAAUCAUAGAGUAAUUAACAUGUUCCAGUUCCUGUCUAUACUGGUUGAUACUGAUUCAACGAGUAUGAAUGAACUUAUGAGGUGGGUGACGUUGUUAUCCCCAGUUUACAGAUGAGGAAACUGAGGCACGGUUUAACUUACCCGAGGUCAUAGCAGUAGAGUUAAGAUUUGAAAUCAAAUGUCUUACUCUCUCUCAUCAAUGAAAACUGAGCUACGAUCUAUCAGCUCAGCACAUAACAACACAGGAUCAUCCUAAUUAUUUCCAAUGUCCCCCAGAGUGAUUCUUUUUUCUUAUGAUAAAAAUUAUCUGGAAAUUUCUAGGCACAUAAGCAGCUGAAAAGGUUGCAUGUGAGGCAAUGAAUAGCAGAAAUAUUUGUGUGCCAUUUUUAUAUCAACAUGUUAAUGUGUGCUAAUGAAUUUUAG